This is a long non-coding RNA of Xiphias gladius (swordfish), 2289 nucleotides long. RefSeq lists it as uncharacterized. The record is from RefSeq and is a predicted model, not a curated record. Lineage: Eukaryota; Metazoa; Chordata; Actinopteri; Istiophoriformes; Xiphiidae. The transcript is spliced from 2 exons.
CUCUUCUCUACUUUCCCCAAUAUGACUGGACGCUCAGCGACAUGUUUUUCCCCGCUUUGGAGCCGCCGCGACCCCCCGCGGGAGAACUUCCGGACGAGGGAAGCGCGAAAAGGUAAAACAGAGAGAUGCAGACAGGAUCAGUGUCAAAAGUGUGGGAAAUCUUCCAGGUGGUGUGGUCGUCUAAGAAGACAUGGACUCACACUGCAGAGAAACCACCAGUGUGAACAAUGUGGCUGCAGUUUCCGCCAACUAAAUGCUUACAAGCUACACCUGCAAACCCACGCAGAACGAAGACCAAACAGCUGCGGCCGGUGUGGGAGACAUUUCAGCAACCAGAGUUUACACAGAAAACACCUGUGUAAUCAUACUGGAGAUUACCGAUUGGGACCAAUGGGGAAAGAGGUUCAACAGCCCAGAUGUUUACAUGACACGCUUGCGUGUCCACACUGGAGAGAAACCAUACCAGUGUGACCAAUGUGACAAGUGUUUCAGUUACUUAUCUCAUUACAAGAGACGCAAGCGUGUCCACGCCGGAGAGAAGCCGUAGCAGUGUGAACAAUGCGGAAAAGGUUUCAGUCGCUUAGGCAAAUACAAGACACAUACCUGCGUGUCCACACAGCGGAGAGAAACCAUAUGAAUGUGAACAGUGGGGAAAGAGAGACACUCAUUUAAGUAGUUACAACCAACACCUGGGCUGCCACACUGGAGAAGAAACCAUUCUGCUGUUCUCAGUGUAAAAGACUAUUUGCUCGGCCAUAAUCCUUAAGGCACAUCACUGUGUUCAUUUAGAUGAACAGGUCUAUAGACCUCCUCAGAGCCUGGCGGUGGAGUCUGCCACUCCCGUGCCUAACCAAGGUUGCCUAACUAAGGUCUCUGUAUGUCAGUGUUGUACAGCACGUGCGCUGGAUUCUACUCACUCUAAUGUCCAUCUGGUCUUAACAAAUACAUUUGGUCAUCUGAUUAUGAGUGUGCUUUGGAAGGAGGUGGAAAAAAAAAAAGUGAUUGGGUUGGGGUUCCAGUUGACCAGCGAUCUAAUCAUCAGUGCGGUUGGCAUGUCUGCAGACCUCGAUGUUUCAGAGUUCGAGAGGCCCGCACUGGGCCCGUGUGCUGGCUGCGACUAUGUAACUGCAGCGGUAUGGUUAGUUGCAGGACAAGAUGUGCGUUCGUGUUAAGCAGGCUGUGUGCUUCUUCCAGCACGCCUCCACAGGCGUGCACGCACACAGCACGAAGCACGUAGCCUGCUUAACAUGAACACAAGUCAAGCUUCCACCGGGGGAAAAGGGCACUGCUGACAUCGGACAGUUAAUUAGCUUCUCAGCUGCACCACAUCAAACUGCAGGCAAAUGUACCUGCAGAUUUCACUCGGCCCUGUUAGAAGCUGGCGUGGUCCUUAGCCUUUAAUAAUGCAGACAACAAGCUCUUUGCCCAUGACCUGUAGCUCUAGUGCAAGUUCAUUACUCUGUCUCAUUCCCUACCAUGAACACUGGCAAUUAGCAGCCUGCCAGCUUCUGCCCAUCAAACAGACUCACAACUCCAGCCGGCUCUGACGUAAUGGAGCGUUUCUGAUAUUUCCCCGAAUACCUUUUUAUUUUUUUCAUUUUUAAUAAUAAGAGACUAUUAACGACACAUUUAAAAGCCAUAUUGUGUGAUGUGAUUUCAGUUGGACUUCAGUACUGUGUCACUUAUUGUGCGCUGAGUUGCUGUUAAUGGGACGACCCACUGCUGCCCGUUCAUAUUAACACCGUUCAACUAGCGUGAAGCAUGUGAAGCAGCCACAGGAUAUGCAAAGUUUUUAACCUGGUUAGCACUGAAUGGGAUUGUUGAUUUAAAAAUGCAUCUGCAAAACAAGACGGGCCAAUGUCUGCAUCUUUUCAUCAUCUGGAUGGUUUUCAACUUUCGCAGCUGAACAGUGAGCCGUUAGGUGAAGGGCUGCAGGCUAUGGGCUGGACAUCUCAGCAAGGUCACCAACUGUACUGCUCCCCCGCUGUCGUGUGGAAAACUACUGGCGCCAUGUGUAGUAUGAAAUUUAGAAGGCUGUUGCUGUCAUCAUCAACAGUUACUAGUGAUCGGUUUCUUUGUGUCGGUGCGGCUGUGGCAAGAUCCCCAGCUCCUCCUGUCAAAGUAUCCUUGGGCAAGACUCUUAAGACAGCACCUUGCAUGGUGGCUCACUGCCAUCAGUGAGUGUGUGUGCGUAUGACUGGGUGAAUGGGAGCGCGCUGGAUUAAAGUGCGAUUAUAAAUGCAGCAAUAUGUCCAUUAUUAAAACAAUACAAAUUUGCGUUAUUGUGCU